Molecule: ribosomal RNA, 497 nt
Filed under: uncultured bacterium
Lineage: Bacteria
Description: partial 16S ribosomal RNA
Rfam family: Bacterial small subunit ribosomal RNA
Source: RNAcentral
GAUGAACGCUGGCGGCGUGCCUAAUACAUGCAAGUCGAGCGAACAGACGAGGAGCUUGCUCCUCUGACGUUAGCGGCGGACGGGUGAGUGACACGUGGAUAACCUACCUAUAAGACUGGGAUAACUUCGGGAAACCGGAGCUAAUACCGGAGAAUAUAUUGAACCGCAUGGUUCAAUAGUGAAAGACGGUUUUGCUGUCACUUAUAGAUGGAUCCGCGCCGCAUUAGCUAGUUGGUAAGGUAACGGCUUACCAAGGCGACGAUGCGUAGCCGACCUGAGAGGGUGAUCGGCCACACUGGAACUGAGACACGGUCCAGACGCCUGCGGGAGGCAGCAGUAGGGAAUCGUCCGCAACGGGCGAAAGCCUGACGGAGCAACGCCGCGUGAGUGAUGAAGGUCUUCGGAUCGUAAAACUCUGUUAUUAGGGAAGAACAAAUGUGUAAGUAACUAUGCACGUCUUGACGGUACCUAAUCAGAAAGCCACGGCUAACUACGUG